UUGAUUGCGAAUCGUUGCCUUCAGUGCUGGCCGGCCUCGGCAUGUGCACGUUGGUGGCUUUCAUCCAAUACCCUGUGAACCUUUGGCCUCUUGCUAGCUUUGGCCGGCAGAGGAUUUUACACAAACUGAAAUGUAAUGAUAAACUGUUGUGUGCAUAUGCACUACUAAUA
RNAcentral lists this unclassified non-coding RNA (170 nucleotides) under uncultured Sebacina. Its description in RNAcentral is "sequence contains ITS1". Lineage: Eukaryota; Fungi; Basidiomycota; Agaricomycetes; Sebacinales; Sebacinaceae. The record is from RNAcentral.